This 968-nucleotide ribosomal RNA is filed under the name uncultured bacterium. RNAcentral's name for it is "bacterial SSU rRNA". It matches the Rfam family "Bacterial small subunit ribosomal RNA", at positions 1 to 998 of the family's 1533-position model. The record is from RNAcentral.
CCCCUUAGAGUUUGAUCAUGGCUCAGAUUGAACGCUGGCGGCAUGCCUUACACAUGCAAGUCGAACGGUAACAGGUCUUCGGAUGCUGACGAGUGGCGAACGGGUGAGUAAUACAUCGGAACGUGCCCGAUCGUGGGGGAUAACGAAGCGAAAGCUUUGCUAAUACCGCAUAAGAUCCAAGGAUGAAAGCAGGGGACCGCAAGGCCUUGCGCGAACGGAGCGGCCGAUGGCAGAUUAGGUAGUUGGUGGGAUAAAAGCUUACCAAGCCGACGAUCUGUAGCUGGUCUGAGAGGACGACCAGCCACACUGGGACUGAGACACGGCCCACACUCCUACGGGAGGCAGCAGUAGGGAAUUUUCCACAAUGGACGAAAGUCUGAUGGAGCAAUGCCGCGUGCAGGAUGAAGGUCUUCGGAUUGUAAACUGCUUUUAUAGUUGAAGAUUAUGACGGUAAGCUAUGAAUAAGGACCGGCUAACUACGUGCCAGCAGCCGCGGUAAUACGUAGGGUCCAAGCGUUAUCCGGAUUUAUUGGGCGUAAAGAGUUGCGUAGGCGGUAGAGUAAGCAAAUAGUGAAAGGAUGUGGCUCAACCACAUGAACAUUAUUUGAACUGCUCAACUAGAGAGUGGAAGAGGUAGCUGGAAUUAUUAGUGGAGGAGUAAUAUCCGUAUAUAUUAGUAGGAACACCAGUGGCGAAGGCAGGCUACUAAACCGUAACUGACACUGAGGCACGAAAGCGUGGGGAUCAAACAGAUUAGAUACCCUGGUAGUCCACGCCCCUAAACGAUGCUUACUAGCUUGUUUAGAAGUUAUUUCUGGGCGGCCAAGCGAAAGCGAUAGUCAGCCCACCUGGAGUAGUACGCCCGCAAGGGAUGAACUCAAGUAGUCGACGCGCUCCGCCCAGCCGAGAAGCAUGUGAUCUAGUCGAUGAUCGCAGAUUCUUACUAACCUAGGAUUUGCGUAUAGAGG